CACGUAGUUAGCCGGGGCUUUCUUCUCAGGUACCGUCACUUCCGUAGCAGUUACUCUACGAAACGUUCUUCCCUGGCAACAGAGCUUUACGAUCCGAAAACCUUCAUCACUCACGCGGCAUUGCUCCAUCAGGCUUUCGCCCAUUGUGGAAGAUUCCCUACUGCUGCCUCCCGUAGGAGUCUGGGCCGUGUCUCAGUCCCAGUGUGGCCGUUCACCCUCUCAGGUCGGCUACGCAUCGUCGCCUUGGUGAGCCAUUACCCCACCAACUAGCUAAUGCGCCGCAGGCCCAUCUCUCAGUGACAGCUUACGCCGUCUUUCCUCAUCCUUUGAUGCCAAAAGAUGAUGUAUUCGGUAUUAGCAUCCGUUUCCGGAAGUUAUCCCAAACUGAAAGGCAGGUUGCCUACGUGUUACUCACCCGUCCGCCGCUAAGCUUCAGAGAAGCAAGCUUCUCUAAGGCUCCGCUCGACUUGCAUGUAUUAGGCAUGCCGC
This 489-nucleotide ribosomal RNA is filed under the name uncultured Saccharibacillus sp. Its description in RNAcentral is "partial 16S ribosomal RNA". The record is from RNAcentral. Lineage: Bacteria; Bacillati; Bacillota; Bacilli; Caryophanales; Paenibacillaceae.